This 593-nucleotide long non-coding RNA is filed under the name Marmota monax (woodchuck). The record is from RNAcentral. Lineage: Eukaryota; Metazoa; Chordata; Mammalia; Rodentia; Sciuridae.
UGAAGAUGGGUGCUGCAAGCCAAAGUUAUCCUCCACCUCUCCAGAGGUGGGGAAAGGCAAGGAAACAGACUCUUUCUUCACCCUCCAGAAGAAAUGCAGCCUGCUAACAUCUUGACUUUAGCUCCUGGGAAAGACCUAGUUCAGAGUUCCAGUAUAAAUAACCAUAAGAUAAUAAAUACAUUUUAUUUCAUUUUUACUUGUUCUACUUAGUUUUACAUGACAGCAAAAAGCAUUUCAACUCAUUAUACACAAAUGGAGCACAACAUUUCAAUUCUCUAUUUGUAUGCGAUACAAAGAUGCACCAUUCGUGCAAUCAUACAUGUACCUAAGGUAAUGAUGUCCAUUUCAUUCCACCAUCUUUCCUAUCCCCAUGACCCUUCCAAAUCCAAAGUUCCUCCAUUCUUCCCAUGUCCCCCAUAAAUACAUUUUAUUUUAAACCAAGUUUGUAAUAAUUCAUUAGAGCAGCAACAGAAAGCUAAUACUUAACCAAUGGAUUUGCUAAUUUAGUCAGAUUGUCAGUCAAUAAUUAUCUCUAUAAAGAAAAAACAGGGAAGACAUGACUCAUGGUCUGGAGAAACAAACAUAUUAACAAC